Aegilops tauschii subsp. strangulata is the source of this 1524-nucleotide long non-coding RNA. RefSeq lists it as uncharacterized. Lineage: Eukaryota; Viridiplantae; Streptophyta; Magnoliopsida; Poales; Poaceae. The record is from RefSeq and is a predicted model, not a curated record.
UGGGCGCGCGAGGGGAGCGAGGGGUGAGCUCCCCUCUUCUCCCAUGUCCCCGCCGGCGAUCCAUCCGGCGCGGCGCGGCGCGGCCGGAGAUUGCAGGCGCAGCCGCGGCGGUUCUUUCUCGAAUCAGCGCUUCCUCUCCUCGAAUCAGGUGGUCAAGGACGUGGCGGCGCGGUCGCUGGAGGUUGAAGAAGCUUGAUCGCCUCCUCCAGUACGCUGAGAGGUAUAAACUACAACAAGCAGAAAACAACAUUAGGGUCUCUGCACGCAUGUUUUUCAGCGGUUACGAAAAGCAAAUUUUCUGGCUGUCUCCAACAGUUGGCAUCACAGAAACAAUGUAGUGGCAAGAUAUCACCAUAGAACUCAGCAAUGCCUUCUCGACCUCGGCAGAGGCAUCUCUGCUGAGCAAGCACAUGACAUACUCCAUCACUGCGGCAUCACAAGGCAGUGUGAUCUUUCCAUUGCUUGCGAAACCAAACUCUUCCUGGGACACUCUUAGGAGCUCUCCAAAGACCAUCGUGCUGAGGUACACCAACGGGACCUCGAAACGGCUUCUGUCGGCCGUGUACAUGAUGCAGUGGCCCCUUACCACUCCAGAGGUGCAGCAUUCUUCAUAUUCUUUGGCUGUCACUGUGAGCCUCUUCCUCCCAAGUGCCGCCACCCUCUGCUACUUCUUUGCCAGUUGAGCAAGUCUCUUCGUGCUAAUCAUGGUUGGUUCUGGGUCUUGUAUUUUCAGCUCCAGAGAAAGUGAGCUAUGGGUGUUGUAGUGCUCAGUUGGUGGUGGAUUAGCUGAUGAAGUGAUGGUAUUGAGCUUUGCCGCUCCCUGAAUUUAUAGGCAAGGUGAAGGGCAUUGUGCUGGUGAAGAGUAGUUGUCACUGUGAAGAGUUGGCCAGGGACAAGGCCAUGUGAUCACUUUGGAGUAGAUUGUGAUGGGGCCAAAUGUUUGGGGCAUGCUGGAGCCAAUAGUGGUAGCAAUAGCAUCAUGGCACGAUCUAUUCUGCGAUGCAGAUAUGGAUGGAUUCAGUUGAGAUAUCAUCAGUUUCGCACAUCAUGCUAUUAUUUUGGAGCUCCAAAUUGACACUUGACCAGCUGAAAGGAAAAGAAAGUGUGUCGGACUAAUGAUCAGGAACUUGUUCAUGGUCUUACCAGUCGCCAUUGAACCUUCAGUCUCAGAUGUGUUGUUGAUCAGUCGGAUGGUGUGCAUGCCUGAAUUAACUUGCUCGACAGAUGUUGCUGUUUGUUCACUUCGUGAUCUGCUCCAUGCAUGUCUGGUCUCCAGUCCAGCAUCUCAUGUGGUCUUCAUUUCAUUGUUGCUUCCACCAUUUGGAGUCUAAGUUAGAAAGGAAAGAACUCUAUUUCAAAAGGUAUGUAUUGUAAUUUUUCUCUAAAAAACCAGUGUAAUUUUUGUCCAAAGUUGUACCUUGUUUAGCUAGGAGGGUCAAGUGUUCUGCAACUUGCCAUAAAUUACUGAAUCUGUAGCUGGCUGUUUCUGCUGUGUGUUGUUUAAUGGAAGUUUUCCUUCGGAAA